This 305-nucleotide ribosomal RNA is filed under the name uncultured bacterium. RNAcentral describes it as "bacterial SSU rRNA". It matches the Rfam family "Bacterial small subunit ribosomal RNA", at positions 337 to 634 of the family's 1533-position model. The record is from RNAcentral.
GCCUACGGGGGGCAGCAGUAGGGAAUCUUCCACAAUGGGCGAAAGCCUGAUGGAGCAACGCCGCGUGGGUGAAGAAGGUCUUCGGAUCGUAAAACCCUGUUGUUAGAGAAGAAAGUGCGUGAGAGUAACUGUUCACAUCUCGACGGUAUCUAACCAGAAAGCCACGGCUAACUACGUGCCAGCAGCCGCGGUAAUACGUAGGUGGCAAGCGUUAUCCGGAUUUAUUGGGCGUAAAGGGAACGCAGGCGGUCUUUUAAAUCUGAUGUGAAAGCCUUCGGCUUAACCGGAGUAGUGCAUUGGAAACU